Molecule: non-coding RNA, 92 nt
Organism: Fomitopsis schrenkii
Lineage: Eukaryota; Fungi; Basidiomycota; Agaricomycetes; Polyporales; Fomitopsidaceae
Source: the annotation of a GenBank genome assembly
GGCUUGAUGGUCUAGAGGUAUGAUUCCUGCUUUGGGGCGACAGUUAGUCGUAUGACUGCAGGAGGCCCCGGGUUCGAUCCCCGGUCAAGCCC